RNAcentral lists this ribosomal RNA (438 nucleotides) under Klebsiella pneumoniae. Its description in RNAcentral is "partial 23S ribosomal RNA". It matches the Rfam family "Bacterial large subunit ribosomal RNA", at positions 1 to 478 of the family's 2925-position model. The record is from RNAcentral. Lineage: Bacteria; Pseudomonadati; Pseudomonadota; Gammaproteobacteria; Enterobacterales; Enterobacteriaceae.
GGUUAAGCGACUAAGCGUACACGGUGGAUGCCCUGGCAGUCAGAGGCGAUGAAGGACGUGCUAAUCUGCGAAAAGCGUCGGUAAGGUGAUAUGAACCGUUAUAACCGGCGAUGUCCGAAUGGGGAAACCCAGUGCAAUUCGUUGCACUAUCGUUAACUGAAUACAUAGGUUAACGAGGCGAACCGGGGGAACUGAAACAUCUAAGUACCCCGAGGAAAAGAAAUCAACCGAGAUUCCCCCAGUAGCGGCGAGCGAACGGGGAGCAGCCCAGAGUCUGAAUCAGCUUGUGUGUUAGUGGAACGGUCUGGAAAGUCCGACGGUACAGGGUGAUAGUCCCGUACACCAAAAUGCACAGGUUGUGAACUCGAAGAGUAGGGCGGGACACGUGGUAUCCUGUCUGAAUAUGGGGGGACCAUCCUCCAAGGCUAAAUACUCCUG